CACGUUUAAUCACAGCCAUCAGAUUCUCCUGAUCCAACGACCUCGGAGUGUUCUUCAGUUUGAUAAAUAUGUCAGAAUUUCUUUUAACCCUAAAUGACCAACAUUCAUCUUCCUCGUACUGAACUGGUAGCACCGCCGGAGUCGUCGCCGCCGAUGAACGUUACCACCUCCGUCGCCUCCCAAAAUAACACCCCAAACUCCAUUUUCACCCUAUUUCCGAAUAUGCAAAUGGCUUCCCUCGAAUCUACCCAGAAAGAUUCGAAUAUCCGUUCGAAGAUUUUUCGGUCACGACGUCAUUUAUCCCUAAUGGCACCAAAUUAACAUCCUGGGGUCACCUGAGUCUGCUUUACCCAACCCCUCUAACCUUGUCCCUCGAAUAUGGCAGGAAAUGCUCAAAUGUCAAUUUUUAGUUUUCCGGCCAAAACCUUAGGUGCUCUGAAAUGAUUCAAAUGGGUGCUACAAGGUCCCCGUGCUUCCUUAGUAAGGUUUCUACUGUUGUCAGCACUCGAAUUUCACCAGACGGGGUCGAAUUGAGACUAUGAGGCGUGGUCGGGUUUUAGUGAGUUCUUUUCUUCUUUUGAUUGUUAUUUAAUUUUUGUUUGUUUUGCAUGUGAUUAAUGAAUGUUUGCAAGUUAGUUUCCGGUUCUUUCUUAGUUUUCAUUAUUUUUGAAUCCUUUCUGCUUCUUAGAUAUUGAUCGUAAUUAGUUAAAGUCAGUUGAUUUGGGUUCAUAUAUUGAUGCAUAAUCAUUUAGUUUUUGGAUUGUUAGUUGUUAAUUGAAAAUUCAUGGUUAGUUUAGUGGAAUUUUUCAAUAGUAAUUGCUUUCAUUAGUUUGUAGUAUUGGUUCAGUUUAAGAAUAUCAGGCAGUAGUUUAAUGUUUUAUGUCAGGGUUAGUAAUAAUUAAAUAUCAGUAUAGUAUAAGGUUAGUUUACGGAUUUCAAUGAAAGAGAAUUUUCUAGAAGCUUCUGGAGAGGGGGUAAAAUUAGAAUUUCAGAGAAUGAGUAUACUUGCUUGAGUCAAGUGAACAAAUAAGGGGUUUAAAAGUUGAAAAUAGGGAGGGACUAAAAGAAAAAACAAAAAGCUGAUUGCUCACCUCUUUGGUGCCUCUAAAAGGGCACUCAAAUGCCUUGGUGAGGGGUUCCUUUCAGCCAUCAAAAAGAGGCCAAAAAUCUUCUUUUCUUUUAAUUUUCAGAUUUGCAUUUGUGAAAUUCAAACUUUCAAAAAUCCAAAAAUAUUAGAAAAUAAAAAAAGGAAAAGAAAAAAGCAUAUUACUGUUACAUUGCUUUUCCCGUCAUUCUCAAAUCCCUUUUUUUUCUUGAUUUUUGAGCUAAAUUCGAGUCCUAAAGGUUCUGAAGAUCUCCUAGUAGUUUAAUUUGAGUGCAUUGGUCCAGUUAAGGGGGUUUCAGUUUGAGUUUUGUGGCACUAGGGGUUCAAGAGAAGUUCGAGCUAAGCUUUGAGCUUUUAUGAGUUUGUUCAAGUUGGUUUUGGAAUGAUUUCCUAAGCCUUUUGUUAGCCGCUGAAUAACUGGUUUUUUUGAAAUUGUUCCUGGGCUGUUGGUUAUUCACAUUGCUGGAAUUAGUCGUUGCUGCUACUGUUGCAUUGAUGUAGCUGAUCUUUUCUUUUCUGUUUAUAUUUCAAUCUCCAGGUACACACUUUUGAGCUUGAAUCCAUGCAGUGUAUUCAGUUGAAAAAUGAAAUGAAAAUGGAGCUUGAUUUUGUUAGAGGCUUCAUUAGUUGUCAUAUUUUCAUUAUCCUUUAUUGUAACAAAUUAGUUGUAUUGGAAUGUUGAUUUGUUUGGACUGUGUGAUUUAUUAGGAACAUGCUUAUGUGGAAAUGAAUACUGGAAUCAACUUCACAAUUUAAUUAGUCACUUUAGAUAGCCUCACAUGACUAAUUGUUCUAAAUCUACUUGAUGUGCGAAAUUGAAUUUGUAUUCUCGAGUGAGCAUGUGGAUGGAAUCUGAUAAUGAAUAUUCCUAUUUGCCAAGUUA
RNAcentral lists this long non-coding RNA (1988 nucleotides) under Nicotiana benthamiana. RNAcentral's name for it is "long non-coding RNA (NBEN_LNC028474)". The record is from RNAcentral. Lineage: Eukaryota; Viridiplantae; Streptophyta; Magnoliopsida; Solanales; Solanaceae.